Haliotis rubra (blacklip abalone) is the source of this 516-nucleotide long non-coding RNA. RefSeq lists it as uncharacterized. NCBI's taxonomy places the organism in Eukaryota, Metazoa, Mollusca, Gastropoda, Lepetellida, Haliotidae. The record is from RefSeq and is a predicted model, not a curated record. The transcript is spliced from 2 exons.
UUGCACUGAUUAGAAUAUCAUAAAUAAUAACGACAAAACCCCGUUCAGUCCAUAGGAAUCUUUAGCAUUUUGUUUUGAAAUGACCAUCAAGUAGUGAUGAUUCCAAUUAUUGAAUUUAGUAUUGACGGAAUAACUAAAAGGAGAACGAACGCCAAUGAACCGACUAGAGGAGAUGCAUGUUCGGUUGAGAUAUAGCUGAAUAACGUUGUUACUCGCCUAUCGUCAGCCUGUAAGUAUUGGGACACGUGUCAUACAGAUAAUGAUUUCAAUGAUAUUUAUUUUAUAAUGAUUACCAACUGGGUUAUGAUUACAGGUAGUCAUCCAGAUAACACUUUGUAACCAUUUCUGACUCAGUACCCGGCACUCAUCACAAACUCGGCAUACUGGGGUACUGGUAGAAUACAGAAAGCCACUCGAACGAAAUGCUCUGAGGAAAAUAUCUAAGUAGACAUCUUUAGAAAACCUAUGCGAUAAACAUGAACACCUUCAACCAUCAAAUGCCGAAAGGGAUUGUAA